CCGACGGUGAGAGACGAAAGCUGCGGGAGCAAACCGGAUUAGAUACCCGGGUAGUCCCAGCCGUAAACGAUGUGCGUUAGGUGUAUCGGUGACCACGAGUCACCGAGGUGCCGAAGAGAAAUCGUGAAACGUACCGCCUGGGAAGUACGGUCGCAAGGCUGAAACUUAAAGGAAUUGGCGGGGGAGCACCACAACAGGUGGAGCCUGCGGUUUAAUCGGACUCAACGCCGGGAAACUCACCAGAUAAGACAGCUGAAUGAUAGUCGGGCUGAAGACUCUACUUGACUAGCUGAGAGGAGGUGCAUGGCCGUCGUCAGUUCGUACUGUGAAGCAUCCUGUUAAGUC
This 345-nucleotide ribosomal RNA is filed under the name uncultured archaeon. RNAcentral's name for it is "bacterial SSU rRNA". It matches the Rfam family "Archaeal small subunit ribosomal RNA", at positions 691 to 1035 of the family's 1478-position model. The record is from RNAcentral.